This is an RNA transcript of Glycine soja, 1153 nucleotides long. It is a transcript of the gene named MADS-box protein FLOWERING LOCUS C-like, with no coding region annotated. NCBI's taxonomy places the organism in Eukaryota, Viridiplantae, Streptophyta, Magnoliopsida, Fabales, Fabaceae. The transcript is spliced from 9 exons. The record is from RefSeq and is a predicted model, not a curated record.
GAGAGAUAGUAAUAGAAGGUGGGACAAAGAGAGAAAACCGAAUAGAAAAGAAGGUAGCUAGCUAGGGUUUUGGCGCGAAGAAGAAUGGGGAAGAAGAAGCUGGAGAUAAAGCGAAUCGAGAACAAAAGCAAUCGGCAGAUAACAUUCUCCAAGAGGCGCAAAGGAUUGAUGAAGAAAGCCCGCGAGUUAUCCAUUCUCUGCGAUGCGAAGUUGGCGCUGCUCAUCUUCUCCAGCACCGGCAAGCUCUACGAGCUUUGCAACGGUGACAGUUUGGCCGAGGUCGUGCAGCGAUAUUGGGAUAACUUAGGAGCGAGCGGUACUGACACAAAGGGACUCCGCUUUGAAAUUGCAGAUAUCUGGUCUGAUGAAGCGUUUUCUCAAUUGGUCCAAAGCCACUUUGGUGUUUCUGAACUUGAGCAUCUGAGUGUGACUGACCUUAUGGAACUAGAGAAACUGGUUCAUUCUGCUCUUUCGCGAAUCAGAUCAGCAAAGAGGAUUGCGUGGAACCGACGAGCGGAGAAGAAAAAGAAAUCUCCAAGUGACGUGACGAGGAACCUGCGGGUAGCUCACAAUAGACUGGUAUCAGAGCCGAUGGUUCGACUUGAUGACCAACUCAAGAUGAGUAAGAUGGCGGCGAUGGAUCCAGUUUAGGGAUCCCGUGUAUCGAAAGUCUUCCUGAUGGUGGGUCCAGGCGGCGUGUCCCGUGGGUGAAGUGACGAUGCAAGUACCUAGAGCAUGUAGGCUCUAAUGACUACCAUAGAAUACUCUGGAUGAUAAUGACUUCCACUUAAGGGGGAGGUUACCAUGUGGAAGAGACUCAUACUUGAGGGAAAGAUUGUUGGAAUACUAGUGUGAGGUGAAGUCCCACAUUGAGUAAAAGUGAAAAAGUUGAACACCAUAUAAGUAAGGAGAAGACCCAUAAACCUGAACCUUAAGGUUUUGGAUUAAAGUGUGGUGUUAAGUUUUCUUAUGCGGUUGCUCAUGGCUCAUUGGUGUAAAUCUCCCCAGUGUUUAGCAUUGAUUACCCAACAUAUAUGACAGAUUAAACUGAGAUGCGAUUGAUGAUGGAAUCUGUAGAGAAUCUUAAGAAAAAGGAACAUAUCUUGAGAAAUGAAAAUGAGCUUUUGGAGAAACAGAUUGAGGCACAGAAAAA